RNAcentral lists this ribosomal RNA (253 nucleotides) under uncultured bacterium. Its description in RNAcentral is "partial 16S ribosomal RNA". It matches the Rfam family "Bacterial small subunit ribosomal RNA", at positions 524 to 776 of the family's 1533-position model. The record is from RNAcentral.
GACGAACCGAGCGAACGUUAUUCGGAAUCACUGGGCUUAAAGGGUGCGUAGGCGGGUCCGUCAGUCAGGGGUGAAAUCCCACGGCCCAACCGUGGAAGUGCCUCUGAUACUGCGGGCCUGGAGGGGGAUAGGGGCGUGCGGAACUUCCGGUGGAGCGGUGAAAUGCGUAGAUAUCGGAAGGAACACCGGUGGCGAAAGCGGCGCGCUGGACCUCUACUGACGCUGAGGCGCGAAAGCCAGGGGAGCAAACGGG